This 84-nucleotide non-coding RNA is filed under the name Paraclostridium sordellii. RNAcentral describes it as "Clostridium sordellii c-di-GMP-II sequence". It matches the Rfam family "Cyclic di-GMP-II riboswitch aptamer". Lineage: Bacteria; Bacillati; Bacillota; Clostridia; Peptostreptococcales; Peptostreptococcaceae. The record is from RNAcentral.
UAAUAUGAAAGAAACUUAGAAGUAUAUUCUGUAUAUGGGCACUUGGGAUAUAUAGAGUUAGUAGUGCAACCGGCUUCCAGUAUU